GAUGAACGCUGGCGGCGUGCCUAAUACAUGCAAGUCGAGCGAAGCGGGGACGGGUGAGUAACACGUGGAAAACCUCCUAUAAGACGGGGAUAACUUUGGGAACGCGUAGCAAAACGGGAUACUUACAGAUGGAGCCGCGUUGCAGUAGCUAGUUGGUAAGGUAAUGGCUUACCAAGGCUACGAUGCAUAGCUGACCUGAGAGUGUGAUCGGACACACUGGAACUGAGACACGGUCCAGACUCCUACGGUAGGCAGCAGUAGGUAAUAUUCCGCAAGGGGCGAAAGCCUGACGGAGCAAAGCCGCGUGAGUGAUGAAGGUCUUCGGAUCGUAAAGCUCUGUUAGUAGGGAGGCGUUACCUGAUCAUGAAGCCACGGCUAACUACGUGCCAGCCGCCGCGGUAAUAC
RNAcentral lists this ribosomal RNA (405 nucleotides) under uncultured bacterium. RNAcentral's name for it is "partial 16S ribosomal RNA". It matches the Rfam family "Bacterial small subunit ribosomal RNA", at positions 28 to 526 of the family's 1533-position model. The record is from RNAcentral.